RNAcentral lists this transfer-messenger RNA (367 nucleotides) under chicken gut metagenome. It matches the Rfam family "transfer-messenger RNA". From Rfam's summary of the family: Bacterial tmRNA, also known as 10Sa RNA or SsrA, is named for its dual tRNA and mRNA-like properties. Its role is to liberate the mRNA from a stalled ribosome. To accomplish this part of the tmRNA is used as a reading frame that ends in a translation stop signal. The record is from RNAcentral.
GGGGGUGUUUUGGUUUCGACUUGCUUUACCAGGUCGGAGACUGCGGGCCAAGAGCUGACUUGUAAAACCGGCAACAAAAAAUAACUGCAAAGAAAGAAGAAGACGACAACGUCGAAACUCUUGCAUUUGCUGCUUAAUUAAACGCAGCAUGGCUUCUCCAGACGCCGCUCUGAGGCUGGAUGAGGUCAACAUAAACCAGGGCUUUCCUUUCAAGGGGCACUCACUUGAGAGGGAGAUCAAGCGGGUGAUACCUUCUUUCAACGCUGGUGAUGCGGCCUAGGAAGAGGGGAGAUUAGAAGCAUCACUACGCCUCGUAGAUGUUUUCGGAUGGACUGUUAGGACGGGAGUUCGAGUCUCCCCACCUCCA